Molecule: non-coding RNA, 385 nt
Filed under: Eucalyptus grandis
Lineage: Eukaryota; Viridiplantae; Streptophyta; Magnoliopsida; Myrtales; Myrtaceae
Description: Bacterial small subunit ribosomal RNA
Rfam family: Bacterial small subunit ribosomal RNA
Source: Rfam by way of RNAcentral
GGGGUGUGCCUCGCUAAACCUUUGUUUCUCAUAUUUUUGCUUCCAAAAUUACAAAAGUUAUUUGCAAUGCCAGAGGGGCGUGCCUUUGGGAAUGCGGACGAUACAAGUGGUGCAUAUGGUUGUCGUUAGCUCGUGCCAUAAGGUGUUGCUCUAAAUCCCAAAAUGAGUGCAACCCUCAUGUCCCCGUUAAGUUUGGAAUCCUAAACGCUUCGGGGGACAUGCUAGAGGAAGGUGAGGAUGAGGUCAAGGCUUCAUGCCUCUUACCUCCUGGGCAGCACACAUGCUGCAAAGGCUAAGACAAAGGGUCAUGAUCACACGAGUAUAAGCCAAAUCCAAAAACUCAUUCUUAGUUCAGAUUGCAUGCUGAAUCUCAAUUCAUGAAAUC